CCCGCCCUGAGCGCUUCCUCCGAAGCACUAUAGCCCAGCCGUGUCUGCAAGCCGAGCCGCGGAACGUGCCCCGACCGAACAGCCCUCCAGAGCCGACCCGAACUCGGGCCGGCAAAGGCAGCCUCUGGGCGGAUGAACCGUUCCGGGCCAGGGAGGCCCGGGAUCCCCGCUCCGCGGUUCACCCGACGGGCUCAGGGCGGUCGGGGCACGCGCCCGGGACCACGUUUCUCCUCCUCUGCUGCUGCGUGACUGCCCCGCACCUGGAGCCCUGCUCGGGGCGGUCUGCACCCUCCAAACACCCCUGCGAGUGCAGGAGGGAUGCCGAGGCAGGAUUUGUCUUGCAGAAUAGCCAGUGCCCCAGACCUGAAAUCACUACUACUUGGAGUACUACAGGUAGCUUUGAAAAUUUUAAAUAAUGUUCCAUGGAUACAUAGUUUCAGUUAUCCAAGAUGAGAAAGCUCUGGAGAUUGUUUGCACAACAAAAGGAGUAUACUUAGCACUACUGAACGUACAUUUGAAAAUGGUUAAGAAGAAAGGAAGAAGAAAUUGGAAGUUUGCUCUCUCAACUUAUUUAUGGAAGAUAAGACCAUUAUCUACAUUGAGUUUGUGAAGAUUCUAUACUACUCCUUUUAUUGUGAGAUCACAAGGAAAAUCCAGCUGUGAUGUGUGUCACCCCAGGAUCGACAGUAAAAAGCAGGGAAAGGGUCCCUCAGCCCUGGCCUGAGCCCUGACUGCAGCCCGGCUCCCUGCCCCCAGCACGUUCUGCACAGCAUCUCUGGCAAGCCAGCUGCUGAUCAGCUCACCGCCCUCCCUCCCCUGUGGGAGAGUACAGGGACACACACAUGAUCAAUCACAUGCGGCUCUCCCUUCCUCGAG
Molecule: long non-coding RNA, 876 nt
Filed under: Heterocephalus glaber (naked mole-rat)
Lineage: Eukaryota; Metazoa; Chordata; Mammalia; Rodentia; Bathyergidae
Description: lncRNA (ENSHGLG00000030362.2)
Source: RNAcentral